Molecule: ribosomal RNA, 429 nt
Filed under: Acidobacteriota bacterium
Lineage: Bacteria; Pseudomonadati; Acidobacteriota
Description: Acidobacteria bacterium partial 16S ribosomal RNA
Rfam family: Bacterial small subunit ribosomal RNA
Source: RNAcentral
UGGGGAAUUUUGGGCAAUGGGGGAAACCCUGAUCCAGCCAUCCCGCGUGUGCGAUGAAGGCCCUCGGGUUGUAAAGCACUUUUGGCAGGAAAGAAACGUCAUGGGUUAAUACCCCGUGAAACUGACGGUACCUGCAGAAUAAGCACCGGCUAACUACGUGCCAGCAGCCGCGGUAAUACGUAGGGUGCAAGCGUUAAUCGGAAUUACUGGGCGUAAAGCGUGCGCAGGCGGUUCGGAAAGAAAGAUGUGAAAUCCCAGAGCUCAACUUUGGAACUGCAUUUUUAACUACCGGGCUAGAGUGUGUCAGAGGGAGGUGGAAUUCCGCGUGUAGCAGUGAAAUGCGUAGAUAUGCGGAGGAACACCGAUGGCGAAGGCAGCCUCCUGGGAUAACACUGACGCUCAUGCACGAAAGCGUGGGGAGCAAACAGG